GUUUUGAAGAAUAAGGUUGUGAACGAAACCUACUGACUCAAGUGCCACAAUAGGAAACCAAGAUGCCACUCUGAGAGGGUCUACCUAAAAUGGCACCUAAUUUUUGAAAUCGGGUUUUACUUGAAACUGAAUGAUAAGGCAACGAUUAAUAAGUUGCUUACAACAAUGCAUAUCAAUUGUUUUGUGUGACCCUGCAACGAGUUUCUUCCAAUACGUCUAUUUUGAUCUCUUAAUUUAUAGCUUCCGACGCGGUUUAGUUUCACCGUUUUUAUGUAUCUUUUUUAUGUGACCCCUUGGGGCAUGUUUUCGUAGGUUAACCAGAAUUUGUGGGACAUUUAUUGCUUCUAUCGAAACUGGUACCUUUAUGUUUGGUGCUCAUCUGCAACUGACCCC
Erigeron canadensis is the source of this 393-nucleotide long non-coding RNA. RefSeq lists it as uncharacterized. The record is from RefSeq and is a predicted model, not a curated record. The transcript has 3 exons. Lineage: Eukaryota; Viridiplantae; Streptophyta; Magnoliopsida; Asterales; Asteraceae.